Molecule: long non-coding RNA, 244 nt
Filed under: Hordeum vulgare
Lineage: Eukaryota; Viridiplantae; Streptophyta; Magnoliopsida; Poales; Poaceae
Description: long non-coding RNA (HVUL_LNC019789)
Source: RNAcentral
AGAACGGGGAUGACGGCGAUACCGAACCAGUACGUCUGGAUGUAUUGAUGUAGAUCUAGAACCAUGAACGUCUGGAUGCGAUGUGCGAUGAUGUAUGUAUAUGUACUCAAGAACGGGGACGACGGCGAUCAAGUAAAACGUUGAUGCUAAUGGGCGUCAUUUACGCGGUCGAUGAUGGCGGAACAGACCGCCGCCGUUGAUGACGGCGACGGUCUGAGGGAGCCCGCCUGCGAGUGCGGCUUCG